Molecule: long non-coding RNA, 3578 nt
Organism: Cyprinus carpio carpio
Lineage: Eukaryota; Metazoa; Chordata; Actinopteri; Cypriniformes; Cyprinidae
Source: Ensembl
AAACGAUGCGCCGUAGAGCGAAAAAAGCAGCAGAGCAAUUUUGUUCGGGCUAACCCAAGGAUUGCAACGAUGCCAUGUUUUUGAGUCUACGACAAACGGUUUACGAGCUACAGCCAAAAAUGUCUGAAAUUUUUGUUUUUUGCGCUGUAGCGCCCCCGUUUAGGCCGAUUGGGGUCGAGACUUUGAUAGGUUCUCCCCAAAUUGAGCUCUACGAUCUGGCCAAGUUUCAAGUCUCUAGGCCUUACGGUUUGGGCUGCACGGUCAAUUUUACGGAAAAACGGUGCGUCGUAGAGUACAAAAAGGCGCAGAGCAAUUUUGUUCAUACUAACCCAAGGAUAGCAACGAUGUAAAGUUUUUGAGUCUACGUCAAACGGUUUACGAGCUACGGCCAAAAAUGUCUGAAAAUUUUGUUUUUUGCGCUGUAGCGCCCCCGUUAGGCCGAUUGGGCUGAAACUUUGAUAGGUUCUCCCCAAAUUGAGCUCUACAAUCUGGCCAAAUUUCAAGUCUCUAGGCCUUACGGUUUGGUCUGCACGAUCAGUUUUAGGGCAGAAGAAUAAUAAUAAUAAUAAUAAUAAUAAUAAUAAUAAUAAUAAUAAUAAUAAUAAUAAAAAUCCUAACAAUUACAAUAGGGUUUCAGCACUGCGUGCUUGAACCCCUAAUAAUAAUAAUUGCAUUUAAACUGUAGUUAACAUGCAGUUAAUUGUCUGAAAACAUUACAUUCAGUUCACACUUAAGUAUGUUCUUUUAAAGUAUAUUGUUCCCAUAAUAAGUACACAUUUCUUUUAAAAUAUGCUAAAGUGUACUUGUUACUACUCGUUACUAAGAGAACAAUAUUCUGGUCAUUGUGUAAAACAAUAAAUCUCUGUUGGUCAGUUGAAUGCAAGCAAUUAAAUUAGAUUUUUAUUGGAUUUAUGAAGUCUUACCUGAAUGAAUAACACAGUAGCUGUCUUGGGAUUCAGUGUGCUAUCUCUCUCUCUUUCUCUCUCUCUCUCUCUCACUCACUCUCUCUAUCUCGGUGUGUGUGUGUGUGUGUGUGUGUGUGUGUGUGUGUGUGUGUGCGUGUGCGUGUGUGUGUGUGUGUGCAUGUGCGGGCAUUUGCUGAGUGAGUGAGAGGAGCGUGUGGUGAGUGCGAUUUCUUUCUCACAUUUCUUGAGUUGCUUUAUCUAUUUAUUUGUUAAUGUUUUUUGUAGUGAUGGUGAAAUGAAGCUUUGCAAAGCACAGAGGCUUUCCCCUUAACUGUAUCAUAAAAUGGUUCAUCACGCGAAGCUUUUCAACACGUUGCUCACUAUUGACAUCUUGUGGUCAAAAGUGGAAAAGGGUGCCUUUGCGUCUCAGCCAUUUUUGGACUGUUUCAUAAAAAUUAUUAAAAUCAUUGCACUUACGCAAAGUAUGAAUAAAUGAGUCUGUGAAUAAAUUAAUGAAAAAAUAAGCAUGGAUCAUGUAGGCUUAUAUGAUCUACAUGAAUGAAGAUUAUUGUGAAUGGUCUGUUGAAGAGCCUUGUGGAGAGGGGAUUAAUACAAUCUAAACAUGCACAAAACUACAUAUGUAAAUAUUUACUCUUAUUAUGAUUUAUUCUUAUCAAAGAAGUGAAUGACACUUGAAAUGUGCAAUGGGUUGGCAUUACUUGAAUCAGAAUAUGUAGCAGUCAUGUGGUUGUGUACGAAAACAAAGAUUUGGAUGUCACAGAUCACGUGUUUAUGACCAAACGAAUCAAGCUCCAGUUUAGUGCUUAACUAUGAGAUGUUUUUAUUUUAUUGAUUUAUGUUUUGUGUGUGAUACAAGCUUCAGAACCUCAUGCCUUAACGCCUCAUCACUAUUUUUUUUUUUUUGAGUGUGUGUGUGUGUGUGUUAUUUGCAGUGGUGUAAUGUAAUGGAGUAAUAAUACUUUACUUUACUUAAGUUUUUAAUAUGUCAGCCAACUUUUACUUUUACUCCACUACAUUUCCUAAUUAAAAUGUAUACUUUUACUCUGAUACAUUUCCCCGAAGCAUAUUUGUUACUUACUAAAAAACAAAGUCAGAAGAACACAGACGGCAAGAAAGUAGAUUUGACGAAUCAUUGGUCUGGCGCUUGUAAUUUAGACACCUAAAAAACACCUUUGCUCAUCUGCAAACAAUUCCAUGCACAACUAAUUUUGAGCCAUUUGACAGAUUCUAAGACUGCUUCACAAUUUUCACAUAUACGCAAACCUAACUCCAAAAUGAGACGAUAUCAAUCAGCUUCAGCCCUGCGUGUAUUAGAAAGCAUCAGAUAAAUAACUAGUUGGCAUGUUUUUUUUUCUUUCUGUGUGGUGGCAUGUAAACUUCUGCAUGUGAAGGCCUUUCUAUAGUUCAGUUGUGUUUUAUGUUUGUCCUGUUAAAAGACUUUCUCACUGAAAUUCCUCCACAACUUGUAAUAUUCUUAAUCAAUAUUCAGAGUUCGAAGGUUAUAAAUACUAUGUUUUCUGUGAAAAUUUAGAUUUCUGUGAAAAUUUUUGGAUCAUUUAUGUGCUGGUCAUUGCAUGCCUGUCUGUGAUGUACUGUUGUGCUACAUUUAUUCUUGUGCAAAGGUUUUUAUUAACCAAAUGCCUUUGAGAGGUUCAAUAGCUAGCAUAAGUUUAAUUAGCUAGUAAGGCAUUGUUGCAUCAGAGGUGUUGCGUCGGGCUCUUCGCUGGAACAUGCCCACUCUUCAGCAUCCAAAGCAGUCAAUGACUUGGAGUCUUCAAUGACAACUUCCUCUUCAGAUGCGCCGAAGGAAAUCAAGCCACCGCAGUCAACGAUGGGUGCUGAUCCUCACGUGUGAAGCACACAGGGGAAUAGAGGCAUUGGGGGGCGGAUGAAGAACACGGGAGCUGUGCUGGUAUGAGCUCACUUAAGCCCGGUGUUAGAGCCCUGCUGCUCCACUGUUUCUUUCUACUAGGAGAGAGAGGAAAUGGGAGAGCAGAGAGGGGAGGACCGCCUUCAUUAAAGAAUGUGAUCCGCGAGUGGAGAAGUGUGAGACUCUCAGUGACCACACUCACUGUGCCCAUCUGUACACGGCAGCCAGCAUCAGGCAGAGCUGAGCUUCUUCUUCUUUCUUGCAGAGUCAGUGAAGAGAUGAUCUUCAUUGCUGAAGGAGAAAAAUUCUGAUGAAAUGAUGCUCAGAGCCGACUUACUGUAUGUAGAGGUCAGCUCCCCUUUUGGCAGGUCGAAGCACCAUUGGAUCGUUCAGCUACACAAACGUGAACAAAUCAGGCUUCAGUAUCAGAGUAAACAGGAGUUUCCGCAUAAGCAUGUUAACGCAACGGGAGAGACCUUUCGAAAGGGAACCAAGGCAUAAUUUAUUUCUCACACCAUGGCUCAUUAAACAACAUUGAUUAACUCAAAAUAUAACUUGUUCAAAUCACUUUGUGAAUGUGUUGAAGUUAUGUUUUUAGUUCAAAAAGAGGGCUCCCAUUCCUGAGUUAAGUCCAGAGAGGACUCAUGUUCCUGAGUUCAGCCCUGAAAGCCCGGAGGCUCACAAAUGCCGGCCCUUCCACCCGCUCCUGCCUCCUGCUUUGCUGUCGUCAGGCAGCCCCUCUGCUCUUCCUCAGACCACUAACAGCACGGUGCGAGCUCCGC